Molecule: ribosomal RNA, 468 nt
Filed under: uncultured bacterium
Lineage: Bacteria
Description: bacterial SSU rRNA
Rfam family: Bacterial small subunit ribosomal RNA
Source: RNAcentral
AUCAACGCUGGCGGCGUGCCUAACACAUGCAAGUCGAACGAGAAAGUCCCGGCUUGCCGGGAUGAGUACAGUGGCGCCCGGGUGAGUAACACGUGGAUAACCUGCCUUCGAGUGGGGAAUAACCCUGGGAAACCGGGGCUAAUACCGCAUGACACUUGGCGACUGCGGUCGCUGAGUUGAAACCUGGAAACGGGGCUCGUUGAGGGGUCCGCGCCCGAUUAGCUAGUUGGUGAGGUAACGGCUCACCAAGGCUGUGAUCGGUAGCCGGCCUGAGAGGGCGGUCGGCCACACUGGAACUGACAUACGGUCCAGACUCCUACGGGAGGCAGCAGUGGGGAAUUUUGCGCAAUGGGGGAAACCCUGACGCAGCAACGCCGCGUGGAUGAUGAAGCCCCUUGGGGUGUAAAAUCCUUUCGGCAGGGACGAAAUUUUGACGGUACCUGAAGAAGAAGCCCCGGCUAACUUCGU